RNAcentral lists this ribosomal RNA (770 nucleotides) under Acinetobacter pittii. Its description in RNAcentral is "bacterial SSU rRNA". It matches the Rfam family "Bacterial small subunit ribosomal RNA", at positions 107 to 872 of the family's 1533-position model. The record is from RNAcentral. Lineage: Bacteria; Pseudomonadati; Pseudomonadota; Gammaproteobacteria; Moraxellales; Moraxellaceae.
UGAGUAAUGCUUAGGAAUCUGCCUAUUAGUGGGGGACAACAUUUCGAAAGGAAUGCUAAUACCGCAUACGUCCUACGGGAGAAAGCAGGGGAUCUUCGGACCUUGCGCUAAUAGAUGAGCCUAAGUCGGAUUAGCUAGUUGGUGGGGUAAAGGCCUACCAAGGCGACGAUCUGUAGCGGGUCUGAGAGGAUGAUCCGCCACACUGGGACUGAGACACGGCCCAGACUCCUACGGGAGGCAGCAGUGGGGAAUAUUGGACAAUGGGCGCAAGCCUGAUCCAGCCAUGCCGCGUGUGUGAAGAAGGCCUUAUGGUUGUAAAGCACUUUAAGCGAGGAGGAGGCUACUUUAGUUAAUACCUAGAGAUAGUGGACGUUACUCGCAGAAUAAGCACCGGCUAACUCUGUGCCAGCAGCCGCGGUAAUACAGAGGGUGCAAGCGUUAAUCGGAUUUACUGGGCGUAAAGCGCGCGUAGGCGGCUAAUUAAGUCAAAUGUGAAAUCCCCGAGCUUAACUUGGGAAUUGCAUUCGAUACUGGUUAGCUAGAGUGUGGGAGAGGAUGGUAGAAUUCCAGGUGUAGCGGUGAAAUGCGUAGAGAUCUGGAGGAAUACCGAUGGCGAAGGCAGCCAUCUGGCCUAACACUGACGCUGAGGUGCGAAAGCAUGGGGAGCAAACAGGAUUAGAUACCCUGGUAGUCCAUGCCGUAAACGAUGUCUACUAGCCGUUGGGGCCUUUGAGGCUUUAGUGGCGCAGCUAACGCGAUAAGUAGACCGU